ACGAACGCUGGCGGCAGGCUUAACACAUGCAAGUCGAGCGCCCCGCAAGGGGAGCGGCGGACGGGUGAGUAACGCGUGGGAACGUGCCCUCUUCUACGGAAUAGCCCAGGGAAACUUGGAUUAAUGCCGUAUACGCCCGCAAGGGGAAAGAUUUAUCGGAGGAGGAUCGGCCCGCGUUGGGUUAGGUAGUUGGUGAGGUAACGGCUCACCAAGCCGACGAUCCAUAGCUGGUUUGAGAGGAUGAUCAGCCACACUGGGACUGAGACACGGCCCAGACUCCUACGGGAGGCAGCAGUGGGGAAUCUUGGACAAUGGGGGAAACCCUGAUCCAGCCAUGCCGCGUGAUCGAUGAAGGCCUUAGGGUUGUAAAAAUCUUUCAGCUGGGAAGAUAAUGACUGUACCAGCAGAAGAAGCCCCGGCUAACUCCGU
RNAcentral lists this ribosomal RNA (429 nucleotides) under uncultured bacterium. RNAcentral's name for it is "bacterial SSU rRNA". It matches the Rfam family "Bacterial small subunit ribosomal RNA", at positions 29 to 506 of the family's 1533-position model. The record is from RNAcentral.